This 429-nucleotide ribosomal RNA is filed under the name Chloroflexota bacterium. Its description in RNAcentral is "Chloroflexi bacterium partial 16S ribosomal RNA". It matches the Rfam family "Bacterial small subunit ribosomal RNA", at positions 355 to 776 of the family's 1533-position model. The record is from RNAcentral. Lineage: Bacteria; Bacillati; Chloroflexota.
UGGGGAAUAUUGCACAAUGGGCGCAAGCCUGAUGCAGCCAUGCUGCGUGUAUGAAGAAGGCCUUCGGGUUGUAAAGUACUUUCAGUCGGGAGGAAGGUGUCAAGGUUAAUAACCUUGGCAAUUGACGUUACCGACAGAAGAAGCACCGGCUAACUCCGUGCCAGCAGCCGCGGUAAUACGGAGGGUGCAAGCGUUAAUCGGAAUUACUGGGCGUAAAGCGCACGCAGGCGGUUGAUUGAGUCAGAUGUGAAAUCCCCGGGCUUAACCCGGGAAUUGCAUCUGAUACUGGUCAGCUAGAGUCUUGUAGAGGGGGGUAGAAUUCCAUGUGUAGCGGUGAAAUGAGUAGAGAUGUGGAGGAAUACCGGUGGCGAAGGCGGCCCCCUGGACAAAGACUGACGCUCAGGUGCGAAAGCGUGGGGAGCAAACAGG